This 253-nucleotide ribosomal RNA is filed under the name uncultured bacterium. RNAcentral's name for it is "partial 16S ribosomal RNA". It matches the Rfam family "Bacterial small subunit ribosomal RNA", at positions 524 to 776 of the family's 1533-position model. The record is from RNAcentral.
UACGCAGGGGGCUAGCGUUGCUCGGAAUUACUGGGCGUAAAGGGCGCGUAGGCGGACAUUUAAGUUGGGGGUGAAAGCCCGGGGCUCAACCUCGGAAUUGCCUUCAAUACUGGAUGUCUUGAGUUCGGGAGAGGUGAGUGGAAUGCCGAGUGUAGAGGUGAAAUUCGUAGAUAUUCGGCGGAACACCAGUGGCGAAGGCGACUCACUGGCCCGAUACUGACGCUGAGGCGCGAAAGCUAGGGGAGCAAACGGG